RNAcentral lists this ribosomal RNA (1374 nucleotides) under Lactiplantibacillus plantarum. Its description in RNAcentral is "bacterial SSU rRNA". It matches the Rfam family "Bacterial small subunit ribosomal RNA", at positions 71 to 1421 of the family's 1533-position model. Lineage: Bacteria; Bacillati; Bacillota; Bacilli; Lactobacillales; Lactobacillaceae. The record is from RNAcentral.
GAUUGGUGCUUGCAUCAUGAUUUACAUUUGAGUGAGUGGCGAACUGGUGAGUAACACGUGGGAAACCUGCCCAGAAGCGGGGGAUAACACCUGGAAACAGAUGCUAAUACCGCAUAACAACUUGGACCGCAUGGUCCGAGUUUGAAAGAUGGCUUCGGCUAUCACUUUUGGAUGGUCCCGCGGCGUAUUAGCUAGAUGGUGGGGUAACGGCUCACCAUGGCAAUGAUACGUAGCCGACCUGAGAGGGUAAUCGGCCACAUUGGGACUGAGACACGGCCCAAACUCCUACGGGAGGCAGCAGUAGGGAAUCUUCCACAAUGGACGAAAGUCUGAUGGAGCAACGCCGCGUGAGUGAAGAAGGGUUUCGGCUCGUAAAACUCUGUUGUUAAAGAAGAACAUAUCUGAGAGUAACUGUUCAGGUAUUGACGGUAUUUAACCAGAAAGCCACGGCUAACUACGUGCCAGCAGCCGCGGUAAUACGUAGGUGGCAAGCGUUGUCCGGAUUUAUUGGGCGUAAAGCGAGCGCAGGCGGUUUUUUAAGUCUGAUGUGAAAGCCUUCGGCUCAACCGAAGAAGUGCAUCGGAAACUGGGAAACUUGAGUGCAGAAGAGGACAGUGGAACUCCAUGUGUAGCGGUGAAAUGCGUAGAUAUAUGGAAGAACACCAGUGGCGAAGGCGGCUGUCUGGUCUGUAACUGACGCUGAGGCUCGAAAGUAUGGGUAGCAAACAGGAUUAGAUACCCUGGUAGUCCAUACCGUAAACGAUGAAUGCUAAGUGUUGGAGGGUUUCCGCCCUUCAGUGCUGCAGCUAACGCAUUAAGCAUUCCGCCUGGGGAGUACGGCCGCAAGGCUGAAACUCAAAGGAAUUGACGGGGGCCCGCACAAGCGGUGGAGCAUGUGGUUUAAUUCGAAGCUACGCGAAGAACCUUACCAGGUCUUGACAUACUAUGCAAAUCUAAGAGAUUAGACGUUCCCUUCGGGGACAUGGAUACAGGUGGUGCAUGGUUGUCGUCAGCUCGUGUCGUGAGAUGUUGGGUUAAGUCCCGCAACGAGCGCAACCCUUAUUAUCAGUUGCCAGCAUUAAGUUGGGCACUCUGGUGAGACUGCCGGUGACAAACCGGAGGAAGGUGGGGAUGACGUCAAAUCAUCAUGCCCCUUAUGACCUGGGCUACACACGUGCUACAAUGGAUGGUACAACGAGUUGCGAACUCGCGAGAGUAAGCUAAUCUCUUAAAGCCAUUCUCAGUUCGGAUUGUAGGCUGCAACUCGCCUACAUGAAGUCGGAAUCGCUAGUAAUCGCGGAUCAGCAUGCCGCGGUGAAUACGUUCCCGGGCCUUGUACACACCGCCCGUCACACCAUGAGAGUUUGUAACACC